RNAcentral lists this ribosomal RNA (403 nucleotides) under Verrucomicrobiota bacterium. RNAcentral's name for it is "Verrucomicrobia bacterium partial 16S ribosomal RNA". It matches the Rfam family "Bacterial small subunit ribosomal RNA", at positions 355 to 776 of the family's 1533-position model. The record is from RNAcentral. Lineage: Bacteria; Pseudomonadati; Verrucomicrobiota.
UGGGGAAUAUUGCACAAUGGGGGAAACCCUGAUGCAGCGACGCCGCGUGAACGAUGAAGGUUUUCGGAUCGUAAAGUUCUGUUGCAGGGGAAGAUAAUGACGGUACCCUGUGAGGAAGCCCCGGCUAACUACGUGCCAGCAGCCGCGGUAAUACGUAGGGGGCUAGCGUUAUCCGGAUUUACUGGGCGUAAAGGGUGCGUAGGUGGUCUUUCAAGUCGGUGGUUAAAGGCUACGGCUCAACCGUAGUUAGCCUCCGAAACUGGAAGACUUGAGUGCAGGAGAGGAAAGUGGAAAUCCCAGUGUAGCGGUGAAAUGCGUAGAUAUUGGGAGGAAAACCAGUAGUGAAGGCGGCUUUCUGGACUGCAACUGAAACUGAGGCACGAAAGCGGGGGUAGCAAACAGG